Molecule: ribosomal RNA, 869 nt
Filed under: Scaphiopus holbrookii (eastern spadefoot toad)
Lineage: Eukaryota; Metazoa; Chordata; Amphibia; Anura; Pelobatidae
Description: partial 16S ribosomal RNA
Rfam family: Bacterial large subunit ribosomal RNA
Source: RNAcentral
AUUAACCUUUUAAUUAGGACACAAAUUCAAAACCCAUCAAAACUAUUGAGUAUUUCUAUACGUUUAUAGGAGAAUUAAUGCUAGAACUAGUAACUCAGAAUUAAACAUUCUCUUAAUGUAAGUGUAAAUCAGAUUGAAUAAAUCACUGAUAAUUAACAGCCUUACAGAAAGCAAUGUAACAACUCACCAAGAAAACCUUACAUCAAAAACUGUUAAUCUUACACAAGAACACACCAAGAAAGAUUAAAAGAUAUAGAAGGAACUCGGCAAAUCUAGGUCCCGCCUGUUUACCAAAAACAUCGCCUCUUGCCCAAUUUGUAUAAGAGGUCCCGCCUGCCCAGUGACAUCAUGUUUAACGGCCGCGGUAUUUUGACCGUGCGAAGGUAGCGUAAUCACUUGUCUUUUAAAUGAAGACUGGUAUGAACGGCAUCACGAAGACCUUACUGUCUCCUAUAUCCAAUCAGUGAAACUGAUCUCCCCGUGAAGAAGCGGGGAUUUUACCAUAAGACGAGAAGACCCCAUGGAGCUUUAAACUUAAGUCACUUGCUUCAAUCACUAAUCCACGGGAUAAACGCUUAACCAAGCAACGAUGAUCUAUGUUUUCGGUUGGGGCGACCACGGAGAAUAAUAAAUCCUCCUCGAUGAAUGAGACAAUUUAAACCAAGAGCUACAGCUCUAAGUAUUAGAAUAUCUAACAUACAUUGAUCCAAUCCUAUUGAUCAACGAACCAAGUUACCCUGGGGAUAACAGCGCAAUCCAUUUCAAGAGUCCAUAUCGACAAAUGGGUUUACGACCUCGAUGUUGGAUCAGGGCAUCCCAGUGGUGCAGCCGCUACUAAAGGUUCGUUUGUUCAACGAUUAAAGCCCUAC